AUAUAAAAACAAAAGUUGAGUCCGGUUCUGGAAGUAAAGGGUGAGUCCAAGAAAUCCCUGAAUGGAUCCACCAUCUCUGGCCUAAUCAAUGUCACCAUGAAGGGGACCUGCAGGCAUUAGAGUGGGUCUUAGUCAUCAUCUCCAUGACUGAGCGGUGAAGAAGGAACCCAGCAUGGUGUAAUGAGCCAUGUGUAGCUGUGUAGGAAGAAGCAUCCCUGUCUGGUUUACCACUGUUAUCAAGGGAAUAAAGUAUCACUGCUGCCCAACAAGAAGUGUUCAGCACACAGACACAUAAAGAGACUUGAGCCACUGGAGCACAUUGAGGGAGAUUAGAGGACUGAGAGAUACAAUAGGAGGAAGGCGCAUGAUAUCGAGAAAAGAGAACCUGAGUCUUUGAAGUAAUCCCCUCUGACAACUCGUUUUGACACAGAGCUGCCAGGAAUCAUCCAUUCCAAUAAGAAGUGACAGUACUAAGAUUAAACUAUCAUUUCUUUAUGAAGGCUGUGAAGUAGCAUUAUAAUCCUGACAACCCAGAAAGUUUCAAUGGA
This is a long non-coding RNA of Homo sapiens (human), 548 nucleotides long. NCBI's taxonomy places the organism in Eukaryota, Metazoa, Chordata, Mammalia, Primates, Hominidae. The record is from Ensembl.